This 456-nucleotide ribosomal RNA is filed under the name Campylobacter gracilis. RNAcentral describes it as "bacterial SSU rRNA". It matches the Rfam family "Bacterial small subunit ribosomal RNA", at positions 29 to 500 of the family's 1533-position model. The record is from RNAcentral. Lineage: Bacteria; Pseudomonadati; Campylobacterota; Epsilonproteobacteria; Campylobacterales; Campylobacteraceae.
AGUGAACGCUGGCGGCGUGCUAAUACAUGCAAGUCGAACGGAAUUUAAAAGAGCUUGCUCUUUUGAAUUUAGUGGCGCACGGGUGAGUAAUAUAUAGCUAAUCUGCCCCUUGCUGGAGGACAACAGUUAGAAAUGACUGCUAAUACUCCAUACUCCUUUUUACCAUAAGAUAAAUCGGGAAAGAAUUUCGGCAAGGGAUGAGACUAUAUCGUAUCAGCUAGUCGGUGGGGUAACGGCCUACCGAGGCUAUGACGCGUAACUGGUCUGAGAGGAUGAUCAGUCACAUUGGAACUGAGACACGGUCCAAACUCCUACGGGAGGCAGCAGUAGGGAAUAUUGCGCAAUGGGGGAAACCCUGACGCAGCAACGCCGCGUGGAGGAUGACACUUUUCGGAGCGUAAACUCCUUUUGUUAGGGAAGAAUAAUGACGGUACCUAACGAAUAAGCACCGGCUAA